AUGCACGCUGGCGGCGUGCCUCAUACAUGCAAGUCGAGCGCACAGAUAAGGAGCUUGCUCCUUUGACGUUAGCGGCGGACGGGUGAGUAACACGUGGAUAACCUACCUAUAAGACUGGGAUAACUUCGGGAAACCGGAGCUAAUACCGGAUAACAUAUUGAACCGCAUGGUUCAAUAGUGAAAGGCGGCUUUGCUGUCACUUAUAGAUGGAUCCGCGCCGUAUUAGCUAGUUGGUAAGGUAACGGCUUACCAAGGCAACGAUACGUAGCCGACCUGAGAGGGUGAUCGGCCACACUGGAACUGAGACACGGUCCAGACUCCUACGGGAGGCAGCAGUAGGGAAUCUUCCGCAAUGGGCGAAAGCCUGACGGAGCAACGCCGCGUGAGUGAUGAAGGUCUUCGGAUCGUAAAACUCUGUUAUCAGGGAAGAACAAAUGUGUAAGUAACUGUGCACAUCUUGACGGUACCUGAUCAGAAAGCCACGGCUAACUACGUG
Molecule: ribosomal RNA, 496 nt
Filed under: uncultured bacterium
Lineage: Bacteria
Description: partial 16S ribosomal RNA
Rfam family: Bacterial small subunit ribosomal RNA
Source: RNAcentral